AAUAACACCCUCUUCAACAAGAAAGAGGUGCAUGUAAGCUUCAACUUGAACUUCUCAAAAGAUAGGAGGAAAUCCUCAGUAGACCUAACUGGACUUGAGAGUGUCUUUCAGAUGAAGAAUCCAUCAACAAAAAUCUGUGCCUCUGAUCUAUUUUUAUUUCACUUUUUUUAAAUUUUUUUUUAUCAAUUUAGUAUUCUGAGACCACACUCCCCAAACACCUUCUUCUCAGCCUGCAGCUUGACUACAGAGAUAUCGAGUAUUUGACUCCACCUAUCCUCUUUCCCUAAGCAGCCUGGCCUCAUUUUUGGUAUGAUCCCUUCCUGCAAUGUAAUCAAAGCUCUUGAAACCACUUGCUCUCUGGUGACCUGGAAUCUCUCUACUGGCAAAAGCAGUAGAGUAGAACGCUUAUGAGCAUGCUGUGAUCUGGAAGCUGUUGUUCAUAUGAGUUUUCAGGAUUUCAGGUUCUCCUCAUCUGACAUGAAUGCAAUCAGAUGAAAAGAGUGAGCAAACACAAACUAGAGGCUUGAUUCUGGAAAAGUUUACUCUCUGAUCAAGAGCUUACUUUUAUAAAAAGCCCCAGUGAAAUCAAUGGGCUAAGCAUGACAGUAAACAUACUACAUAUUCGUAAGUCUUCGUAAGAACUAUAGGCUAAAGCUGGACUAUAUACUAAAACAUUUAGUUACAUGUAUAAUAAGAUAGAUAACACUGAUGUUCAAGUCAGUGCUUUUCUCUCUUGAAAAAGGCAGCUUUCUAGGACAAGGUCAGAAAUACUCACGAUUUCAAAGAAUGUAGCCCCCAUAUAUUAUUUUGUCUUAUAUAAAACAUAGGCCAUUUAUACAGAUUCAAUAGGAGAGACUAAUAAUUCUGAUUACAAUGUCUGAUAACUUUUCAUUUGGUUCUUCAUCAAUAACUACUGUAUAUCACAUUUAUAUACAAGCAUCUGUUCUUUUCU
Dromaius novaehollandiae (emu) is the source of this 952-nucleotide long non-coding RNA. RefSeq lists it as uncharacterized. The transcript has 3 exons. Lineage: Eukaryota; Metazoa; Chordata; Aves; Casuariiformes; Dromaiidae. The record is from RefSeq and is a predicted model, not a curated record.